CAACUCGGGGUGUUCUCAGUUGAGAACACCUAGAAUAGAGUCCUUUGGACCCCAAUUUCCACUUAACUUGGCCAGACUCCAAACCUUGGAUUUUCUAGGGUUCAUACAGUCACUUUUAGGGUUCGACCUUUCAGGUCAGAUUCGAACCAAAACCUUGUUAGUUUAGGUACGAGAGAUGUUAGGGGAGUUCUUGGUAUUGAUUUGGGGUGAUUUGGUGUGAGUUGAAUCUGGGCUCGAAUCUUCAAAUGAAGAUUCAAGAAGGUUCUGUUUGAUUUGAGGUUAGGGGUUAGUGGAUUUGGCUUUAGGGGAGUGAUGGGGGUUCUGUGGUGUUAACGGGGUGACCGGCGGCGUCGUUGCCGCCGUGUUUCUGGUGCAAAUUGCCUAGAGGCGGCUAGGGUUUUGGGGUUCUGGUCUCUGAGGGGUUGAGAUGGGGAAGAAGAAUGAGGAGGGUAGGGUGCCUUUGGGGGGUGUGGGGUGGGUGAGUGAGUAUAUAUAUGGAUUAGGCCUGGGUCAAACGUGCAAUUGGGCCCGUUUUCUUUGCAAUCAGGGUGCCUUUAGGGGUGCGGGGUGAGUGAGUGA
This 579-nucleotide long non-coding RNA is filed under the name Nicotiana benthamiana. RNAcentral's name for it is "long non-coding RNA (NBEN_LNC025986)". The record is from RNAcentral. Lineage: Eukaryota; Viridiplantae; Streptophyta; Magnoliopsida; Solanales; Solanaceae.